Molecule: long non-coding RNA, 3102 nt
Organism: Cyprinus carpio (common carp)
Lineage: Eukaryota; Metazoa; Chordata; Actinopteri; Cypriniformes; Cyprinidae
Source: Ensembl
AUGAACUUGGUGAAAUCUGGCUGCUCAUGCUCUGUAUUUUUUUCCUUAGGAGGGAACAGCAAGACCACAUGUGUUACGCAGGGUGACUUUCCUGCAGCAAACCACACAUGCAGGAGAGGAAGGCAUGGAAGAGGAUGUGUCUUGGCUUCGACGGAGGAAAAAGCAAGCUGUAAGAGUUUGACUGAGACACAGCUGAAGCUGGAUACAGGCCACAAAGAGAUACACUGCAGAGCAGAACAAGAGCAACGUCAAUGACACUCUAUGCAAACCAGAACACAUCCCAUAAUAUCAGACAGCUUGACUCAAGCUUGUGCAGUAGCAGCAGCAAUACUGUAGUACCGACAUGUUUAGUAGGCAGCUCAAAGGUUACAUCCCAAUUUGCAUACUAUAUACUACAUUGUAGUAAUGUGUUCUAAACAUUAGUAAAUUAAAAACAGCAUGAUGGAUUUUGGAAAUAUGCAUCCAUUUAUGCUUUAUGAGUAAAUGAUUCACACAAACCGUGGCAUUCCUGAGGAGGAGGAGUUCAUGACUCAAGGUUUCAGUGUUAGAAAAAUGCAGUUAUUUUAAGUUAUUUUAAACGCAUGAAUGUAAAACAUUAAGUAAUCAUGGAUUAAUUAGGUCAUUUAUUACGUUUAUUACAAAUAUUUGAUGCAGUUUUAUGAAUCAUUUUCCAAAAUAACACUAAUGUUGAAAAAGUUUAGAUUCACAUAAACAUUUUUAUGAUUUUGAAAAAAAAAAAACUGAUUCCAUUUAUUAGAGUAGAUAUUUAUGUAUGUUUUAAAAAACAUUUUUAUUGGUCAUGACUUCUUUCAAAAACUAUAAAAACUCUUACCGACCCCAAACUUUCAUACAGUAGUUGUUGCUCGCUCUAAUCUCCAUGAAAAACUGCAUGCUUCCAGUGUGCAGGAAGCCAUUAGUCUUGAGGCCGUAAAUUAAAUUAAAGCUCAUAAAUUAAAUUAAUAUCUUGUAGAAGUAUGUAAAUUGGGAUCCAGCCAAAAACUUAGAUCCAGAACAAUGCACAUUCUUUCAUCCCAUGAAAGUAACAGCAGAGAUUGUGAUAUAUGAAAGUUUUCAGGACACUUUUUUUUUUUUUCUGUUUGUGAGGAGUAUUCAUGCAGUAUCUGUGAGAAGUGAGCUGUGCUGAGCCUUGAUCUUGCUGUAUUGUCGUGUUUCUCUUCCAGAUGCAGAGGAAUGUGUUUGAGGAGAUGAAGUACAUAGAACUGAGGGUUGUCACUGACCACAGCGUGGUGUGUUUAAAUGCUGUUUGAAUAUAAUACCCCUUUAUGUGAAAGUAUCUUCGGCCUUCUGAUUUUCUUUGUGAAAAAGAUGUACACUUUGGCAUACUUUUAAAAAGAACGCCUAUGAAAAUAAUGUACUUUGUUCGAAUUAAAUAUUGUGGAUUGUAAUGUUUUUGGACACUUAAUUGCAUGUUAAUUGCUAUUAAAUGAAAAUGUAUUAUAGUUUAUGUUUACUGAACGCUUACACUUUACUGUAAAGUGCUUAAUAAGUAAUUUUUUGUGAAAUAUGGUUAAAGUACUUCUAAAUGUACUGUGAAGCAUUUAUGAUAAACUAAAAUAUAAAAUAGCUAAAAUAUACUUCAAUGCCAUUUCUACUGAAACUUGUGUGUCAUGUAUUUAACUAUAUACAUUUGUAAUAAUGGAGCUGCAGUUUAGGAGCCUACAUUUUAAAUAUAUUGAAUAACACGCUGCAGUUAAAAUUAUAAUCCAGUACUUUACAUCUCAUCUGGUUUAGGAUGUUAGUCAACACAAGAAAAUAAGUGUAGCUUACUUUUUAAAAGCGUAUUAAGAAACAUGGUCAUAAAAUUGGACUCUCUUUAGGUACAUGUGGGGCCUAAUAUAUUAUCUGCAAGUACAGUUUUAACAAAUAUACUUUUAAUAUUUGAAGUACCCUACAAGUGCACAUUCAAUACAAUUAAGCACACUUCACAAGGGUUUAGUGGUAGAGUUGUGUUUGAGGAUAGGUGUGGGACUAUUGUUUGAUAAGAAUGUUUAUCCAGUCUUGAGUCAAUCUAUGUUUAUCAUCUCAUUAGUGCAGUUCCUGCGUCAUAAAAUGCUUUGGGAAUGCCUUCAGCGUGACCGGCUCUGAAUCAUGUGUGUAAUCAGACCAAUGGAUGGGCGAGAUGUCAUAGGCGGGUGACGUCAGAGAUCAGAGCGCUUAAAAGCACGUGCGGCCAUGCUGGCAUUUAGCCUUGUGUCUUUCAGCAAGCGCUCGGUGUGUGUGUCAGUUGCUAUCUGUUUGUGAGUCUUAUUUAGUGUUGUUUGUCCAAAGCUUCAGUCAAGAGAAGUUUUGGGCGAUAGCAGGCAGUGUUCAGACUGUGUUUUUUCCCUGCCCGCAAAAAACAAAACAAAAAAAGGGGGUAGGGACACACGCAGUUUGUGUGUUGUCUGCUUGAGAGGGAGCUGAUGGCUGCGAUGUGAGCGUUUGUUACAGCUUUGCUUCACUCUCAGAAGGCUCUCUUUGAGGAGGGAGCCUUCACUGGUGUUUCUUGCGUGGCAGCCCCGCUUUCGCCGAGGCGGAGUGGUGGUUGUGCUUGGGGGUUUCGCUUUCGGAUCUGGUGGAAAAGGGAUGUAGACGGGCAAGUCCCUAUCUUCGGGCGUUAAUAAGCUCGCCAGUUGCACAAGCAUCAGUUACACAAGCAUACUAUGCCUGAUAUUAUAAUGAGCAGCUUUAAUGAGGAGUGGAGCUCACGCAGUCAGCUCUCGGGGGGCUGAUUGUGCUUUUCUCGCAGUUAAGUGCUCCGCUCUCGCCGGGCAUGCUCCGAGGAGUGUGUCCGUGCAUGCGGUCUUGCAGUUGUGGUCCCGCUGCUGCUGAGGCACGGCGGCGACUGAGAUCACGGAUCGCACAUGAUCUGGCGGACGGGUUGGAGACAGCACGUCCUGUCUCCACCCGUGUUUCUUGCUGCGGUUUCUUCCCCCUCUGAGUGAGAGCUCGCUGCAGCGUUCAUCUUCCUCUGAGGAGAUUGAUGUUGUUUGUGUGACUGAGUGGCAAAAAAAAAAAAAAAACUUGCGCGCUGCCGAGGCAGAGUGUUUACUCGUCUGGUUGUUGACUACAUUUAAUUCUGAGGAAUAAAAUGAAAUAUUU